UACGAAGGGGGCUAGCGUUGCUCGGAAUUACUGGGCGUAAAGGGCUUGUAGGUGGCCAACUAAGUCAGACGUGAAAUCCCACGGCUUAACCGAGGAACUGCGUCUGAUACUGGAUGGCUUGAGUGUGGGAGAGGGAUGCGGAAUUCCAGGUGUAGCGGUGAAAUGCGUAGAUAUCUGGAGGAACACCGGUGGCGAAGGCGGCAUCCUGGACCAUGACUGACACUGAAAAGCGAAAGCCAGGGGAGCAAACGGG
This 253-nucleotide ribosomal RNA is filed under the name uncultured bacterium. RNAcentral's name for it is "partial 16S ribosomal RNA". It matches the Rfam family "Bacterial small subunit ribosomal RNA", at positions 524 to 776 of the family's 1533-position model. The record is from RNAcentral.